RNAcentral lists this ribosomal RNA (490 nucleotides) under uncultured bacterium. RNAcentral describes it as "partial 16S ribosomal RNA". It matches the Rfam family "Bacterial small subunit ribosomal RNA", at positions 30 to 507 of the family's 1533-position model. The record is from RNAcentral.
AUUGAACGCUGGCGGCAUGCUUUACACAUGCAAGUCGAACGGCAGCGGGGUAGUGCUUGCACUACUGCCGGCGAGUGGCGAACGGGUGAGUAAUAUAUCGGAACGUACCGAGUAAUGGGGGAUAACCAAUCGAAAGAUUGGCUAAUACCGCAUACGUCCUGAGGGAGAAAGCGGGGGAUCGCAAGACCUCGCGUUAUUCGAGCGGCCGAUAACUGAUUAGCUAGUUGGUGGGGUAAAGGCCUACCAAGGCGACGAUCAGUAGCGGGUCUGAGAGGACGAUCCGCCACACUGGGACUGAGACACGGCCCAGACUCCUACGGGAGGCAGCAGUGGGGAAUUUUGGACAAUGGGGGCAACCCUGAUCCAGCCAUGCCGCGUGUAUGAAGAAGGCCUUCGGGUUGUAAAGUACUUUUGUUAGGGAAGAAAAGGGAAGUGCUAAUACCACUUUUUGCUGACGGUACCUAAAGAAUAAGCACCGACUAACUACGUG